GCGACCGUGUGCGGUUGCUAAUAGUGGUCGCUAACAUAUAGCACACAUCAAACUUUGCCAUGUACCAUGCUGACUAAGCUUAGCGACGAAUUCGAUUGCUACUAUCGGUAACAGAUAAAUCGGUAGCUAAUAGUUGUCGCUGAUGUGCAUACCAGCGACCAAAUUUUAUGCGACGCCUAUCAGCGACCGCAGUCGGUCACGGAUAAGGAACUGUGACCUAAUGCGGUCAUUGAUAUGUGGUCGCAGAUAGGCCUUUUUCUUGUAGUGAAC
Molecule: long non-coding RNA, 270 nt
Filed under: Panax ginseng (ginseng)
Lineage: Eukaryota; Viridiplantae; Streptophyta; Magnoliopsida; Apiales; Araliaceae
Description: long non-coding RNA (PGIN_LNC007018)
Source: RNAcentral